AACUGUGAUCACUGAUCAGUCACGUCAGUCUGUGUGAGGAUGAGGGUGAAUAUCUACCUGCUCGUCUUAGUGCUUGGCUAUAAGGCCGCUGCAGGAAUAAUCCAUCAAACAGUUGAAGAAAAGAAACAGGUGUCUCUGAGAUGUCCUCACUCUGUGGAGGGAGACGUGACGUGGAGCAGAGAGAGGAAUGGAGACAAAACUGACAUACUGACAGUUAAUGGAGACAGAAAGACAUAAAACACAUUGAUGACCCGGGCAGACGAUACAGUUCAUCAGCUGAUAAGUCACUGUUCAUUCUAAAAGCUGUCGUCUCAGACUCUGGAAGAUACUUCUGUAACAAUGAAGCAGCUGCAGAUCUGACGGUGAUCCCAUCAGGAACAACUAUAGUCACUGCUCCAGAGAGGACCAACAUCACUCUGACAUGUCCUCAUGAUGUCGGAGCAUCACGUGUUCCAACAUGGAGCAGAGACUCUGGUGGAAGAAGGUUUGAUGUUUCCUCUGUUGACCAGACGUUGACUAUAACAGACGUGCAGCCUGGUGACUCUGGACUUUACUACUGUGAUGGAAAACCAGCUGUUUAUCUGAACGUGACCGAAGGUAACAAGGCACCACGCAUAACAACCACAAGGACAAACCCAACAACCCUGACAACAACCACAACAAGACAAACAUCAGCAGCGCUUCCUCCAACAGAAGCAAAAGUAACAACUGUACCAUCAACUCCACCUCAGAGUGGAGGUAACAAGACACAACAUAC
Sander lucioperca (pikeperch) is the source of this 757-nucleotide long non-coding RNA. RefSeq lists it as uncharacterized. The record is from RefSeq and is a predicted model, not a curated record. The transcript has 4 exons. NCBI's taxonomy places the organism in Eukaryota, Metazoa, Chordata, Actinopteri, Perciformes, Percidae.